RNAcentral lists this small RNA (61 nucleotides) under Salix viminalis (osier). Lineage: Eukaryota; Viridiplantae; Streptophyta; Magnoliopsida; Malpighiales; Salicaceae. The record is from RNAcentral.
AGAUAAUGGUUGGCCAAAAUUUGAAGAGAAAUAAUAGCUGUCUUUUUUUUGACAGAAAACA